Long non-coding RNA from Phyllostomus discolor (pale spear-nosed bat), 185 nucleotides. RefSeq lists it as uncharacterized. The transcript is spliced from 2 exons. Lineage: Eukaryota; Metazoa; Chordata; Mammalia; Chiroptera; Phyllostomidae. The record is from RefSeq and is a predicted model, not a curated record.
GUAUUGCCAUAAGAACAGACACAUAGAACAAUGGAACAGAUCAGGGAGGCCAGAAAUAAACCCCAGACUCUUUGGUUAAUUAAUAUUCAACAAAGAGGGCAGCAACAUAAAAUGGAGUAAAAAUAUCCUCUACAACAAGUGGUAUUGGGAGAGCUAGACAGCUACAUGCAAAAAAAAAAAAAAAA